ACUCCUACGGGAGGCAGCAGUGGGGAAUAUUGCACAAUGGGCGCAAGCCUGAUGCAGCCAUGCCGCGUGUAUGAAGAAGGCCUUCGGGUUGUAAAGUACUUUCAGCAGUGAGGAAGGUGGAUAUGUUAAUAGCAUAUUCAUUUGACGUUAGCUGCAGAAGAAGCACCGGCUAACUCCGUGCCAGCAGCCGCGGUAAUACGGAGGGUGCGAGCGUUAAUCGGAAUUACUGGGCGUAAAGCGCAUGCAGGUGGUUUGUUAAGUCAGAUGUGAAAGCCCGGGGCUCAACCUCGGAAUUGCAUUUGAAACUGGCAAACUAGAGUACUGUAGAGGGGGGUAGAAUUUCAGGUGUAGCGGUGAAAUGCGUAGAGAUCUGAAGGAAUACCGGUGGCGAAGGCGGCCCCCUGGACAGAUACUGACACUCAGAUGCGAAAGCGUGGGGAGCAAACAGGAUUAGAUACCCUGGUAGACGUAG
Molecule: ribosomal RNA, 472 nt
Filed under: uncultured bacterium
Lineage: Bacteria
Description: bacterial SSU rRNA
Rfam family: Bacterial small subunit ribosomal RNA
Source: RNAcentral